RNAcentral lists this ribosomal RNA (1456 nucleotides) under Leuconostoc holzapfelii. Its description in RNAcentral is "bacterial SSU rRNA". It matches the Rfam family "Bacterial small subunit ribosomal RNA". Lineage: Bacteria; Bacillati; Bacillota; Bacilli; Lactobacillales; Lactobacillaceae. The record is from RNAcentral.
GCAUGGCGCGAGCUACACCUGCAGUCGUACAAGCAUAACUCAGGUGCUUGCACCUUUCAAGCGAGUGGCGAACGGGUGAGUAACACGUGGAUAACCUGCCUCAAGGCUGGGGAUAACAUUUGGAAACAGAUGCUAAUACCGAAUAAAACUUAGUAUCGCAUGAUAUCAAGUUAAAAGGCGCUACGGCGUCACCUAGAGAUGGAUCCGCGGUGCAUUAGUUAGUUGGUGGGGUAAAGGCUUACCAAGACGAUGAUGCAUAGCCGAGUUGAGAGACUGAUCGGCCACAUUGGGACUGAGACACGGCCCAAACUCCUACGGGAGGCUGCAGUAGGGAAUCUUCCACAAUGGGCGCAAGCCUGAUGGAGCAACGCCGCGUGUGUGAUGAAGGCUUUCGGGUCGUAAAGCACUGUUGUAUGGGAAGAAAUGCUAAAAUAGGGAAUGAUUUUAGUUUGACGGUACCAUACCAGAAAGGGACGGCUAAAUACGUGCCAGCAGCCGCGGUAAUACGUAUGUCCCGAGCGUUAUCCGGAUUUAUUGGGCGUAAAGCGAGCGCAGACGGUUGAUUAAGUCUGAUGUGAAAGCCCGGAGCUCAACUCCGGAAUGGCAUUGGAAACUGGUUAACUUGAGUGUUGUAGAGGUAAGUGGAACUCCAUGUGUAGCGGUGGAAUGCGUAGAUAUAUGGAAGAACACCAGUGGCGAAGGCGGCUUACUGGACAACAACUGACGUUGAGGCUCGAAAGUGUGGGUAGCAAACAGGAUUAGAUACCCUGGUAGUCCACACCGUAAACGAUGAAUACUAGGUGUUAGGAGGUUUCCGCCUCUUAGUGCCGAAGCUAACGCAUUAAGUAUUCCGCCUGGGGAGUACGACCGCAAGGUUGAAACUCAAAGGAAUUGACGGGGACCCGCACAAGCGGUGGAGCAUGUGGUUUAAUUCGAAGCAACGCGAAGAACCUUACCAGGUCUUGACAUCCUUUGAAGCUUUUAGAGAUAGAAGUGUUCUCUUCGGAGACAAAGUGACAGGUGGUGCAUGGUCGUCGUCAGCUCGUGUCGUGAGAUGUUGGGUUAAGUCCCGCAACGAGCGCAACCCUUAUUGUUAGUUGCCAGCAUUCAGUUGGGCACUCUAGCGAGACUGCCGGUGACAAACCGGAGGAAGGCGGGGACGACGUCAGAUCAUCAUGCCCCUUAUGACCUGGGCUACACACGUGCUACAAUGGCGUAUACAACGAGUUGCCAACCUGCGAAGGUGAGCUAAUCUCUUAAAGUACGUCUCAGUUCGGACUGCAGUCUGCAACUCGACUGCACGAAGUCGGAAUCGCUAGUAAUCGCGGAUCAGCACGCCGCGGUGAAUACGUUCCCGGGUCUUGUACACACCGCCCGUCACACCAUGGGAGUUUGUAAUGCCCAAAGCCGCGUAGAGUAACAUCUCUGGCUCGAGGCGGUCUAAGGCGGCAGCCGC